AGAAACUCGAUGAGCGGGAGCAAGUAGCUCUUUCGUACCCCUUUCAGCGAGCCGGUGAGGGUGGAAGUCCGGCAGGAGGAGAAAGAAGGAAUGGGCCCGGGAGAGGCUGUCAGAAGUCAGUAUGACAGGCCGGAACUUUCACCGUUACCAGGAAAGAGUGCAUGAUAAUGUGCAUGUAAGAGCCGGGCAUUAUGCCAACCAGGGUGGUACCGCGGAAAUACUUUCCUUUCGUCCCUAUA
RNAcentral lists this non-coding RNA (239 nucleotides) under Megasphaera sp. RNAcentral describes it as "T-box sequence". It matches the Rfam family "T-box leader". From Rfam's summary of the family: Uncharged tRNA acts as the effector for transcription antitermination of genes in the T-box leader family. The record is from RNAcentral. Lineage: Bacteria; Bacillati; Bacillota; Negativicutes; Veillonellales; Veillonellaceae.